UUGUGGGUGGAUUAGUGGCGAACGGGUGAGUAACACGUGAGUAACCUGCCCUUGACUCUGGGAUAAGCCUGGGAAACUGGGUCUAAUACCGGAUAUGACUGAUCAUCGCAUGGUGGUUGGUGGAAAGCUUUUUGUGGUUUUGGAUGGACUCGCGGCCUAUCAGCUUGUUGGUGAGGUAAUGGCUUACCAAGGCGACGACGGGUAGCCGGCCUGAGAGGGUGACCGGCCACACUGGGACUGAGACACGGCCCAGACUCCUACGGGAGGCAGCAGUGGGGAAUAUUGCACAAUGGGCGCAAGCCUGAUGCAGCGACGCCGCGUGAGGGAUGACGGCCUUCGGGUUGUAAACCUCUUUCAGUAGGGAAGAAGCCUUUCGGGGUGACGGUACCUGCAGAAGAAGCGCCGGCUAACUACGUGCCAGCAGCCGCGGUAAUACGUAGGGCGCAAGCGUUAUCCGGAAUUAUUGGGCGUAAAGAGCUCGUAGGCGGUUUGUCGCGUCUGCCGUGAAAGUCCGGGGCUCAACUCCGGAUCUGCGGUGGGUACGGGCAGACUAGAGUGAUGUAGGGGAGACUGGAAUUCCUGGUGUAGCGGUGAAAUGCGCAGAUAUCAGGAGGAACACCGAUGGCGAAGGCAGGUCUCUGGGCAUUAACUGACGCUGAGGAGCGAAAGCAUGGGGAGCGAACAGGAUUAGAUACCCUGGUAG
Molecule: ribosomal RNA, 703 nt
Filed under: Pseudarthrobacter sp.
Lineage: Bacteria; Bacillati; Actinomycetota; Actinomycetes; Micrococcales; Micrococcaceae
Description: bacterial SSU rRNA
Rfam family: Bacterial small subunit ribosomal RNA
Source: RNAcentral